UCGCCGUCGCAACUUCAUCUGCUCUCUUAGCAACGCUCACGGCGCGUUUCGUGUUUUCGCCGCGCAUUCCAGUGUUGGCUGUUGAGCGGUUCGGUUGUGAGUUCGCUGUUGCUGCGGAAACAGUUCGCUAAGGCGCGUCUCCUGUUUCGAAAAGUAAAUAAAGAUCAGCAAACAGCCGUGAAUUUGUUAAUAAACCAACACGAAAUAUUACUGUGUGUAGAUUUGUAUAUAGUUCAAGCCAGCUAAAAUAGAAAUUGAAAUGAAAAAUCGACCCAAACAACAAGUGCGACAGGAAGCGCGCGCGUUGAAAUCGUAACGAAAACGAAAACAAAGUGCACACUAAAAAUAUAUUGUUGUAUGUAUAUGAAUGUGUAUGUGAAAUUCCAUUUAUUUGCUAAUUGGAAAUUGUAUAGCUAUUGAUAGCCAAUAAAAUCAGUCACUUAAUUGUGCUAAUUGAAAAGAAAGUGGGAAAUAUAGAAAACCUAUAUACGUUCAGAUAUUAGUAAAAAGCAAUAAUACAAAUUUCAAUACGAGCGUGUUGCGGCAGAGCACUUACAGAUGUGUUGCUGACCAUAUUUCCCAAUUGGUAUCGGCCCAAAUUUUGUUUUUGGUCGCGCUCAUUGCAAUAAUUGCAAAAUGGAAACGUGAAGCGAAAACAAAAUACGCAAAUCACUAAAACUAUU
Molecule: long non-coding RNA, 683 nt
Organism: Drosophila navojoa
Lineage: Eukaryota; Metazoa; Arthropoda; Insecta; Diptera; Drosophilidae
Source: RefSeq, a predicted model, not a curated record